GGGCAGGGUUCAAGACACGAGCAUGUGCCUGGCUGGCUGAGGAGCCUCCUCUCCACCAAGGGACAAGAGCCCAAAUUCUGGAUCCCCAAAGAUGUGGGGUUGCUCACUGGGAAGUGUCACACCAGGCUGACUGGCCCUUGCCCAGUGGCCCAGGCCGGGACACAGCCUGUCCGUCACAGAUCACACCUGGAGCGGCGUUCUCCAUCACCCGACACUCUCGGAGCCAAGCCCCAGGCCUACGGGAGCCAGGGCAGCUGUGAUCACCCCUACACACCCAUUUAGCAGCUGAGCUCCUGAGGCGAGAGGAGAGGAAGGGCAAGGGGGCCACAGUGAUGCUGUGACCAAGGUGGGUGCAUAUCUCGGGUCCCUGCAGCAAAGAAGGGGUCAGGUCUGGCCCUAAGAGCUCAUUCCACACCUGGACAUUGGCAGGAAAGAGCCCAACAGGACCCCUGCCUGGGCUCUGGGGAGCCAACUUGGCAGCCCAUGGUUAUUAAUGCCCAGAUAUGCUCCUUCUCACACAGUCUCUGACCCCAAGGAGCCAACAGGCUGCCCGGGGCUAUCCUCUGGGAGGGGCAGGGGGCUUGGCUCUGGGUCUGGGCCACUCACGAGUUCUGAGAUACCUUAUUUGCCUCACCCACGGCCAUGUUCCCGACAGAGCACAGAGUGCACAGUAAGCGCUCAAUAAAUGCUUCUAUAAAUAACUUUCUUGGUCCACUGAAGGAGCAACAAAGGCUAUUCCUACACAGCCCGUGGACCCCAGGCUACAACUGCUCCACAUUGGUGGGGGUGGGAGGCCCCUGCCUUGACCCAUCCCCUCCUCCCUACGCAGUAAAAUGAACAUCAGACCUCUCCCAGUGGGGCACAGGGAGACCCCAACUCUACCACGCAGGGGAGGUGGGUUGGGGACGGGGGAGGACAGGAAUCAUUGGUUUCCUACACACUCCCAGCCCCCGCGGGGACCAGGGUGGGAAGUCCUAUCAGUGCCAGGCAGAUGGAGCCCUGAGGUCUGGUGGCAACGGGCAGGGUGUUCAGCCCGCAGCCUGCGCUUCCCCGUCUGCCUGUCACCGGUUCCAGGACUCUCACCCACGUGGCCCACGUUCAGAGACCCUGCGGGGCCACCUUCUCCCAAAGCUGGCCUUGGUGAUGAAGAGCACGGCUGUCCCUUGCUCAGUGGGGACCCCGGACCCAGCCCCAGG
This 1196-nucleotide long non-coding RNA is filed under the name Homo sapiens (human). RNAcentral describes it as "HSALNT0231843". The record is from RNAcentral. Lineage: Eukaryota; Metazoa; Chordata; Mammalia; Primates; Hominidae.